Peromyscus maniculatus bairdii (prairie deer mouse) is the source of this 490-nucleotide non-coding RNA. NCBI's taxonomy places the organism in Eukaryota, Metazoa, Chordata, Mammalia, Rodentia, Cricetidae. The record is from RefSeq and is a predicted model, not a curated record.
ACCUUCACUAUCCCCACCAUUCACCACACCCAUGAAUACCGGGACGGAAAAGCGACAGCAGCAGCCAGGAUUCGACCUUCCUCCCACAACCUCCAACCCAAGCAAACUCAGCAAGCGAAGCUAGGCGGGGAGGGGCCGGGCCGGGUCGGGGGCGGCCUGGCAGGAAGCGGCGCGUACCUUCCGCUGCAGGAGGAGCAGGUGGCUACAGUGCUGUCGGGGCCCCAAGCUUCCUGUGUACGCUCCCGCUGGCUGCUUUUUCCCGCCAGAGCUCAUUGGGCCGCCCCGGCCCUAUGGCUCAGACCCCAGAUGGCAUAUCCUGUGAACUGCGAGGCGAGAUCACCAGGUUCCUGUGGCCCAAAGAGGCGGAGCUGCUGUUGAAAACCUGGCUUCCCCAGGAGGGUGCUGAGCAAAGUCAUAUCCUGGCCCUGCUCCGAUGGAGAGCGUAUUUACUGCACACCUGCCUGCCCCUGCGGGUGAGUCCCGGGCCUGG